GCCCUCCAUCCCAACUGCCACUGGGUUUCAACUGCCACCUGGGAGACUGCUGGUAAAGAUGGGAGGUGGCCUUUGCCGCUUUCCAUCUUCUCACUGCAGUUUCUUCACGUGGGCCACUUGUACUUAAAAUGUCUUCUUAAUUUAUUCUUUUUACUUCCCCAGCUCCAAUUUGUCUACAGAUUUACAAAUUUGUUUUAUAGUUUUAUGACUCAAUUUGUAUUUUCGGUCCUAUGAAGCUUUUUGCCUUAAAUAUUUUUCUCUGUUUAUAAGAAUGUGCUGUUUCCUAGGCCAGUUUUGUACACACUCUUCCAUAGAAUAGAUCCAGAAGAAACACAACAAUACUGCCUUCAUCAUAUCAGGAGAUCUUGAUACCAAAUACGAGUGUUGCCUCCAAGAUGCAAGAUCCUGAGGGCUCCAAAGAAUCCACUGUCCGUCACAAAUCGACGGUCCGCCAGCUCAGUUUCAGAGACGUGGUGCUCCGCUGCAGGCCUCAUCCUCAGGUGCACCCUGGCAGUCAGCCAUCUGAAGAUUUCAGGGACCACCUGGAGGGGAGCGGACCAGAGAGACUUCCUCGGAAUAGGCUGUGGCUCUUCACAAGGUGUCUUCUAUGCUUUAUUUGGGAGCCAUUGCCUUGAGCGUUAUUUCCCAGAUGGUUUUCUAAUGUCACCAACUGAAGAAAAGACCCAUGCACACAGGACACAGCAUGAUCUGAUGCUCACAGCGUUUUCCUUCCUCUCUGAAAACGGACUCAGCGAUUCUGGCAAGCGGUACUUACUCUGAGAUCACCCGUUUGCUAAGGAAAAAUCUUAGUACUGAGAAAGGUGACACUUUCCUCCCUGCUUUUGCUGGAGAGACACUUUGGUUAUGAGUUAUUUCUAGCAUAACACAGUUUAUUUCAGAAGUCCAGCUCAAUAGCAGACCAAGGCAUGAACAACACAUGAAAAUUUAUGUUGGGAAAAUAUAUAUUGUAUGUCUGCUUGAACUGUGGGUUCUUGAUUAAUACAAAACUGGUUGAUGAAGGUUGUUACCUUCAGGAAAAUGCAAAUCUAGUGGAGGGACAAAACUCACAGUAACAGUAUUUCAUCAUAGCCACCAUGAGGCAGUACAUUAUGAAGCAUGUCAGUGAUGAAUUACUGGCAGGCUGGUCUGUCAUUGAAGCUACACUCUGUUUCUAGCUUCUGUUGCUUCUGCUGUCUCUCUCCUAACAUCUGCAUAUUCCUCCACUUUGUGGUGGAGGAAGCAUUAGGGCUGAUAUAGGGGAUUUCCAGUGAGUGUAUAAUUCAGUGCAGAAUUGGCAGGAAUAUAUUCCAUGGUUAGGAGCUGGAGAAAGUAAGAAAUAAAAAUAGACCUUGAAGAAUGGGUAGGAUUUUCAAAAUCAGAGAUAAAGACGCAAGAAAGAGAAUUCAGUUUUUCAAGUUUCUAAGCAAUCAUAUUUACAUGCAUAGACAUUUUGCUGGUUUCUGUCUUACUAAUGUAUACUACACUGUGUCUAAUCACUC
This 1499-nucleotide long non-coding RNA is filed under the name Homo sapiens (human). RNAcentral describes it as "long intergenic non-protein coding RNA 1120". Lineage: Eukaryota; Metazoa; Chordata; Mammalia; Primates; Hominidae. The record is from RNAcentral.